This 78-nucleotide transfer RNA is filed under the name Candidatus Woykebacteria bacterium RBG_13_40_15. RNAcentral describes it as "tRNA-Val". It matches the Rfam family "tRNA". From Rfam's summary of the family: Transfer RNA (tRNA) molecules are approximately 80 nucleotides in length. Lineage: Bacteria; Candidatus Woykeibacteriota. The record is from RNAcentral.
GGAACCGUAGCUCAGUUGGUCCAGAGCGUCUCGUUUACACCGAGAAGGCCGGAGGUUCGAAUCCUCCCGGUUCCACCA